UAGGAUAGAGGCCUACCAUGGUGGUAACGGGUAACGGGGUGUUAGGGCACGACACCGGAGAGGGAGCCUGAGAAACGGCUACCACAUCCAAGGAUGGCAGCAGGCGCGCAAAUUACCCAAUCCCGACACGGGGAGGUAGUGACAAUAAAUAACAAUACGGGGUUCUCUAGGAUCUCGUAAUUGGAAUGAGUACAAUUUAAAUCUCUUAACGAGGAACAAUUGGAGGGCAAGUCUGGUGCCAGCAGCCGCGGUAAUUCCAGCUCCAAUAGCGUAUAUUAAAGUUGUUGCAGUUAAAAAGCUCGUAGUUGAAUUUCGGGGUUAGUAGGUUGGUCAUGCCUCUGGUAUGUACUGGUCUCACUGAUUCCUCCUUCCUGAUGAGCCGUAAUGCCAUUAAUUUGGUGUUGCGGGGAAUUUGGACUGUUACUUUGAAAAAAUUAGAGUGUUUAAAGCAAGCUAACGCUUGAAUACAUUAGCAUGGAAUAAUGAAAUAGGACGUUCGAUCCUAUUUUGUUGGUUUCUAGGAUCGACGUAAUGAUUAAUAGGGAUAGUUGGGGGCAUUAGUAUUCAAUUGUCAGAGGUGAAAUUCUUGGAUUUAUUGAAGACUAACUACUGCGAAAGCAUUUGCCAAGGAUGUUUUCAUUAAUCAAGAACGAAAGUUAGGGGAUCGAAGACGAUCAGAUACCGUCGUAGUCUUAACCAUAAACUAUGCCGACUAGGGAUCGGAUGAUGUUAAUUUUUUAAUGACUCAUUCGGCGCCUUACGGGAAACCA
This 770-nucleotide ribosomal RNA is filed under the name uncultured Glomeromycotina. RNAcentral describes it as "SSU rRNA". It matches the Rfam family "Eukaryotic small subunit ribosomal RNA", at positions 329 to 1100 of the family's 1831-position model. Lineage: Eukaryota; Fungi; Glomeromycota. The record is from RNAcentral.